RNAcentral lists this ribosomal RNA (440 nucleotides) under uncultured bacterium. RNAcentral's name for it is "partial 16S ribosomal RNA". It matches the Rfam family "Bacterial small subunit ribosomal RNA", at positions 338 to 795 of the family's 1533-position model. The record is from RNAcentral.
CCUACGGGUGGCAGCAGUGGGGGAUAUUGCACAAUGGGGGAAACCCUGAUGCAGCGACGCCGCGUGGGUGAAGAAGCGCCUCGGCGCGUAAAGCCCUGUCAGCAGGGAAGAAAAUGACGGUACCUGAAGAAGAAGCCCCGGCUAACUACGUGCCAGCAGCCGCGGUAAUACGUAGGGGGCAAGCGUUAUCCGGAUUUACUGGGUGUAAAGGGGGCGCAGACGGCGAGGCAAGCCAGGAGUGAAAGCCCGGGGCCCAACCCCGGGACUGCUCUUGGGACUGCGUGGCGAGAGUGCAGGAGGGGGAGGCGGAAUUCCUGGUGGAGCGGUGAAAUGCGUAGAUAUCAGGAGGAACACCGGUGGUGAAGGCGGCCUGCUGGACUGCAACUGACGUUGAGGCCCGAAAGCGUGGGGAGCAAACAGGAUUAGAUACCCCGGUAGUC